This 248-nucleotide ribosomal RNA is filed under the name uncultured bacterium. RNAcentral describes it as "partial 16S ribosomal RNA". It matches the Rfam family "Bacterial small subunit ribosomal RNA", at positions 85 to 334 of the family's 1533-position model. The record is from RNAcentral.
AAGAUGGCGACCGGCGCACGGGUGAGUAACACGUAUCCAACCUGCCGAUAACUCCGAAAUAGCCUUUCGAAAGAAAGAUUAAUACCGGAUGGCAUACGAAUAUCGCAUGAUAUUUUUAUUAAAGAAUUUCGGUUAUCGAUGGGGAUGCGUUCCAUUAGUUUGUUGGCGGGGUAACGGCCCACCAAGACUACGAUGGAUAGGGGUUCUGAGAGGAAGGUCCCCCACAUUGGAACUGAGACACGGUCCAA